GUGAGGUCCAGUGGGCUGCUCCGCCCUCAGCGCUGGGGCCUCUCGGGCUCAGCGUUCGGGAAGAGUUGAGGUCUGCCCUCCGAAGCAGUCACUGGUGGGAGAGGAGGGUGAGGGACAUGACGCCCAGAGAUGUAGCCGCCGGGCAGCCUGGGCUUCGCUUUUCCCUUCCAAGGCCUUCCCUGCAUGGCGAAGUGGCUGGCUCUGUUCACAUUCAAGCGUUGCCCAGAACAGCUUCGCGUGCACCUCAGAUGAUCUUUUAGGGGUUUUUAAAUUUUCAUUUUUUAGCAGUAGUUAUUAUUUUCUUUUCCCAUAGGGAGAAACAGGUGGUGCCUAAAAAAAAAAAAAAAAAAAAACCUCUGACAUUUAUUGGGUUUAUGCUGAAAAUAUUGAACAGUUCACAAAGGGGCCUUUGAUCCUGAGAACCUUUCAGAUCUUUGGUGCUUUUGUGCUCACCGAUUCCAGGCCAGUACACCAAUGCUCCCACAGCCUUGAAGCCCAGCGGGAAUGGGCUGGUCCAGGCUCAGGAGCCCCGUGCCUCUCCCUCUCCUUUCUUCAUUUUCCACCAGCUAAACGUCCCUUGCUCCGCCCCACUGCAUCCAUACACGUGUUUUGGUUUCGAUUGUUUGCUGACACUUUUUGUUAGCAGCUCAUUGAAGAUUUCCAGUCUGCAGUAAGGACUCAGCCAUAGAACCUUCUGGAGUCCCUGUAGCCUGGCUGAACCACCAGCUGUCCCGUGGCCACAGCCAGUCUUGCCCAUCCUACAUUCAGUCUGCAGGGAACAUUCUUUCCCUCCACACCCGCACUUCCCCGAGGCCAGCCCAGUCCAGGCUUUGGGGUCUGCCUGGCUGUCUCCUUGUCCUCCACUGCCCCGCCACCCCUGUCCCCAGCCUGGACCCAGAGCACAGUGUCCUGGCCUUUGUCAGCCUCCGUCUAUCCCCGCACCUCAGGGCCUGGUCCCUGAACCAGUGCCUGACUCAGUGACAGUCACUCACUCACUCUGUCCUCAGUGAGUGACAGGCUCUCAGAUCACCACGUAAAUGAAUGAACUUCUGGAAGAAAGAAUGACAACAUGGGUGUUUAAACACAUUUGUUCAUUCAGCGUCUACUCUAUCUUUGGAAUGAUGCCUUCUUUCCCCUCUGAAAAGAGCAGCAUUUGGGGAGAGAGGGAGGCCUCGCUGGCGGGAUUGGCAGAACCCAGGAUGGAAGCCUGCCACGCCAGACGCCAGACACGCCAGGGUUCCCGCACACCUGUUCCCAAUCGCAGGAAGCGGAGAGGCCGCCUCCUCCCUCUUUGUUUGUGUUUUCCCUCUCCCUCUGUCCCUUCCACAUGCCCCCACCCUGAGUCGGGAUCUGUGCCUCGGUAUAGACUGCAGUGAGUUUUGACCUCCUCCUCGCCAUCCUCCUUGUCUUUUAUUUAAAAGGCAGCAGAGAUGGGGACUCUGGUCUCUCUCCCUGCCCCUCCCGCCAACAGCUGCACAGCAUGGAGUUCACUGUUCUGUGGCUCUGGGCCUUUGUGUCUGGGCGCCCGUAGUCCUGAGCCCUGAACAGUCGGGAGAGGUGAGGGCAAAGACAAGAGCGAGGUGACGGGACAGCCGCCUUGUCCUCAGCGUCCCUCCAGGAGCCCCUCAAGGUUGGAAUGGCAGGAACCAGGUCCUUCCUGGAGCCUCUCGUCUCUGCUAGGCAGUGAUGUGUUGUAACACGUUCCUGGAGCCCUUCCUCGCCAUCUGUCUCCCGAGCUGGAUUAUCACUCCACUCCGAGAGAGGGGUUCCAAUUUGCAAUUGUAAAUUGUCUUUUUCCCCCCUUUUCACUCCACAUGCAGGGACUCUGACAGCUUGAAGGGGCUGUCGUGGUUUGCAGUGAGCAUGGCUUGUUUUCCAUACGGCACAAAACACAUUCCCUCUGGAGUCCCUGGAGGGACGGGGACAGUCCCCAGGGGUGCUGGGUGGGCGGUGGAGGCCAGGUGAGUAGGAGGCUGCGAGGGAGAGAGGCAGAUGCUGGACACAUGGUCUUUCUCCAAGUUGACCUCGGGCUGAUUCCAGGACUCGACCCUGGGCUCCCCCUGAUGAGCCCAUCCUGACGAGCUCAUGUGUGCAAUGAGGUAAGAGCGGAUGGCACCGGUGGCACCUGAACUCUCGCCUCUCUUCCUCUCCUAUGAGAGCCUUUACACCACGGGGCAGGGCCAGAGGGCUUCCUUGCUACGCAGCUGGGCCCUAUCACUUCCCCCGCGUGGCACCCUUCACGCUCCUCACCCUGCUGGGCCCUGCAUAAGGCCUGCUGCCCGCAGCCUGCUGCCCUUCUCUGUCCCGGGGGACACUGACCUCCUCAUCAUUGUGCCUCGAACACACCAGGGCACCUUUCACAGGCAUCUGCCCCGCAGACAGCUUCACUGCUGAAUUCUACUAAACAUCUGAAGAGGAGUUAAGAUCAGAUCUUCACAAAUACCUCCAAAAGACGGGAGGAGAAAAUGCUUCUCAGCGCCUUUGAGUCCAGUGAUCCCUAGGUGCCAUAGCUGGACAAAGAUACCACAGGACAAGGAGCUGGCAGGCACAGCCUCUUCCAGGGUCGAUCUGCACUGAGGUCAGCAAAAUGCUUUUGGCUCCUACUGAACAGAGAAGGAAACUGAGGCUGGCACGUCCCCAGAUGGAGACGGCGUUCACGACAGCCAGGGGCCAGGGGAUGAUGAGCUGGUUUGUCCCAAGAGAAGGCAUCAUCAUCAUCGUGUUGAUGUCGGCCCGGAGCGUCCACAGCGCUCCUGACAAUGCGAGUCUUCCCCAAAUGGCAUCUCUUUCAUAAAGAGAGACACAGGUCCUGCAAUCCAGGGAGGAGGCAGAGAGGAGUGCUCGGCCCCACACCUGGGCCGUGGGACCGGUGGAGUUCAGGUAAAGCCACACGGAUGGAGAAACCACUUCAUACACUCAGUGAAAGCAGUGUUCCUGAUGAGUUUGAGUCAGCGCUGGGAAAUUACAGUCAGAAUCAACUGCAGCAAAUCAACAUCCUCUCUGCCCCUCAGUCUUCUCCUCCGCAGAGUGGGCUAGAAGAUCAGUGCUUGCUGGAACUGUCAUCUCUGUGCUCAGCAGUGAUUGCAGUGACUGGCGUGAACAGCCUUCAAACUGGUCCUUGGCGGGGGUGGGAAAGUGGAGGCGGGCAC
Molecule: long non-coding RNA, 3149 nt
Organism: Symphalangus syndactylus (siamang)
Lineage: Eukaryota; Metazoa; Chordata; Mammalia; Primates; Hylobatidae
Source: RefSeq, a predicted model, not a curated record